CGGGAUGUGGCGCAGUUUGGCUAGCGCACCUGCUUUGGGAGCAGGAGGUCGCCGGUUCGAGUCCGGCCAUCCCGA
This 75-nucleotide transfer RNA is filed under the name Gemmatimonadota bacterium. Its description in RNAcentral is "Gemmatimonadetes bacterium tRNA-Pro". It matches the Rfam family "tRNA". Rfam says of the family: Transfer RNA (tRNA) molecules are approximately 80 nucleotides in length. Their secondary structure includes four short double-helical elements and three loops (D, anti-codon, and T loops). Further hydrogen bonds mediate the characteristic L-shaped molecular structure. tRNAs have two regions of fundamental functional importance: the anti-codon, which is responsible for specific mRNA codon recognition, and the 3' end, to which the tRNAs corresponding amino acid is attached (by aminoacyl-tRNA synthetases). tRNAs cope with the degeneracy of the genetic code in two manners: having more than one tRNA (with a specific anti-codon) for a particular amino acid; and 'wobble' base-pairing, i.e. permitting non-standard base-pairing at the 3rd anti-codon position. The record is from RNAcentral. RNAcentral also lists the same sequence under 1 other name. Lineage: Bacteria; Pseudomonadati; Gemmatimonadota.